AUUCUACCCAUGUGGGGAAGGAUGAGAAGCUUCGACCAAGGUUCGAUUCGAGCGCAGCGAGAAAGCGUUGCCGCAGGCAACGACCCGAAGGGCGAAGCGCGCAGCGCUGAGUCAUCCUUCCCCCACCACCA
RNAcentral lists this small RNA (131 nucleotides) under Salmonella enterica subsp. enterica serovar Oranienburg. Its description in RNAcentral is "RtT sRNA". It matches the Rfam family "RtT RNA". Rfam says of the family: This family represents a bacterial cis-regulatory element known as RtT RNA. The exact function of RtT is unknown although it is thought that it may be involved in changing the cellular response in relation to amino acid starvation. The record is from RNAcentral. Lineage: Bacteria; Pseudomonadati; Pseudomonadota; Gammaproteobacteria; Enterobacterales; Enterobacteriaceae. RNAcentral also lists the same sequence under 6 other names.